RNAcentral lists this ribosomal RNA (236 nucleotides) under uncultured bacterium. RNAcentral describes it as "partial 16S ribosomal RNA". It matches the Rfam family "Bacterial small subunit ribosomal RNA", at positions 935 to 1173 of the family's 1533-position model. The record is from RNAcentral.
GAGCAUGCGGAUUAAUUCGAUGCAACGCGAAGAACCUUACCAAGGCUUGACAUGCACCUGAAAUUGCUGGCAACAGUCUCCUCGCAAGACAGGUGCACAGGUGGUGCAUGGUUGUCGUCAGCUCGUGUCGUGAGAUGUUGGGUUAGGUCCCGCAACGAGACCAACCCUCGUUCUAUGUUGCCAGCGCGUUAUGGCGGGAACUCAUAGGAGACUGCAGGGGUCAACUCGGUUAAAGG